GAUGAACGCUGGCGGCGUGCCUAAUACAUGCAAGUCGAGCGAACAGAUAAGGAUCUUGCCCCUCUGUCAUUUGCGGCGGAGGCGGGAGUAAAACGUGGGUAACCUCUCUCUAUGACUGGGAUAUCAUCGGGGAAACGGAGCUCUAAUCGGAUAAAAUUUCGAACCGCAUGGUUCGCUAGAGAAAAAUAGGUUUGUUAUCACACUUAGAUGUACCCGCGCCGUAUUAGCUAGUUGGUAAGGUAACGGGGUACCAAGGCGACGAUACGUAGCCGACCUGAGAGGGUGAUCGGCCACACUGGAACUGAGACACGGUCCAGACUCCUACGGGAGGCAGCAGUAGGGAAUCUUCCGCAAUGGGCGAAAGCCUGACGGAGCAACGCCGCGUGAGUGAUGAAGGUCUUCGGAUCGUAAAACUCUGUUGUUAGGGAAGAACAUACGUGUAAGUAACUGUGCAUGUCUUGACGGUACCUAAUCAGAAAGCCACGGCUAACUACGUG
This 497-nucleotide ribosomal RNA is filed under the name uncultured bacterium. RNAcentral's name for it is "partial 16S ribosomal RNA". It matches the Rfam family "Bacterial small subunit ribosomal RNA", at positions 28 to 507 of the family's 1533-position model. The record is from RNAcentral.